UGAGGAAUAUUGGUCAAUGGACGCAAGUCUGAACCAGCCAUGCCGCGUGCAGGAUGACGGCUCUAUGAGUUGUAAACUGCUUUUGUACUAGGGUAAACUCACCUACGUGUAGGUGACUGAAAGUAUAGUACGAAUAAGGAUCGGCUAACUCCGUGCCAGCAGCCGCGGUAAUACGGAGGAUUCAAGCGUUAUCCGGAUUUAUUGGGUUUAAAGGGUGCGUAGGCGGUUUGAUAAGUUAGAGGUGAAAUGUUAGGGCUCAACCCUGAAACUGCCUCUAAUACUGUUGAGCUAGAGAGUAGUUGCGGUAGGCGGAAUUCCCGGUGUAGCGGUGAAAUGCUUAGAGAUCAUACAGAACACCGAUUGCGAAGGCAGCUUACCAAACUAUAUCUGACGUUGAGGCACGAAAGCGUGGGGAGCAAACAGGAUUAGAUACCCUGGUAGUCCACGCAGUAAACGAUGAUAACUCGUUGUCGGCGAUACACAGUCGGUGACUAAGCGAAAGCGAUAAGUUAUCCACCUGGGGAGUACGUUCGCAAGAAUGAAACUCAAAGGAAUUGACGGGGGCCCGCACAAGCGGAGGAACAUGUGGUUUAAUUCGAUGAUACGCGAGGAACCUUACCCGGGCUUGAAAGUUAGCGACGAUUCUUGAAAGAGGAUUUCCCUUCGGGGCGCGAAACUAGGUGCUGCAUGGUUGUCGUCAGCUCGUGCCGUGAGGUGUCGGGUUAAGUCCCAUAACGAGCGCAACCCCUACCGUUAGUUGCCAUCAGGUCAAGCUGGGCACUCUGGCGGGACUGCCGGUGUAAGCCGAGAGGAAGGUGGGGAUGACGUCAAAUCAGCACGGCCCUUACGUCCGGGGCUACACACGUGUUACAAUGGUAGGUACAGAGGGCAGCUACCCAGCGAUGGGAUGCGAAUCUCGAAAGCCUAUCUCAGUUCGGAUUGUAGUCUGCAACUCGACUACAUGAAGUUGGAUUCGCUAGUAAUCGCGCAUCAGCCAUGGCGCGGUGAAUACGUUCCC
Molecule: ribosomal RNA, 1018 nt
Filed under: uncultured bacterium
Lineage: Bacteria
Description: bacterial SSU rRNA
Rfam family: Bacterial small subunit ribosomal RNA
Source: RNAcentral